This 492-nucleotide ribosomal RNA is filed under the name uncultured bacterium. Its description in RNAcentral is "partial 16S ribosomal RNA". It matches the Rfam family "Bacterial small subunit ribosomal RNA", at positions 29 to 507 of the family's 1533-position model. The record is from RNAcentral.
AGUGAACGCUGGCGGUAGGCCUAACACAUGCAAGUCGAACGGCAGCACCGUAAGAGCUUGCUCUUACGGGUGGCGAGUGGCGGACGGGUGAGGAAUACAUCGGAAUCUACUUUUUCGUGGGGGAUAACGUAGGGAAACUUACGCUAAUACCGCAUACGACCUACGGGUGAAAGCAGGGGAUCUUCGGACCUUGCGCGAUUGAAUGAGCCGAUGUCGGAUUAGCUAGUUGGCGGGGUAAAGGCCCACCCAGGCGACGAUCCGUAGCUGGUCGGAGAGGAUGAUCAGCCACACUGGAACGGAGACACGGUCAAGACUCCUACGGGAGGCAGCAGUGGGGAAUAGUGGACAAUGGGCGGAAGCCUGAUCCAGCCAUACCGCGUGGGUGAAGAAGGCCUUCGGGUUGUAAAGCCCUUUUGUUGGGAAAGAAAAGCAGCAGGUUAAUACCCCGCUGUUCUGACGGUACCCAAAGAAUAAGCACCGGCUAACUUCGUG